Molecule: non-coding RNA, 75 nt
Organism: Hordeum vulgare subsp. vulgare (domesticated barley)
Lineage: Eukaryota; Viridiplantae; Streptophyta; Magnoliopsida; Poales; Poaceae
Source: Rfam
GGUGUCCAGGUGUAGUUGGUCUAGCACGUCAGUUUUACACGCUGAAGAUCUCCGGUUGGAGCCCGGAUGACGCCU